RNAcentral lists this ribosomal RNA (301 nucleotides) under uncultured bacterium. RNAcentral describes it as "partial 16S ribosomal RNA". It matches the Rfam family "Bacterial small subunit ribosomal RNA", at positions 509 to 807 of the family's 1533-position model. The record is from RNAcentral.
CAGCAGCCGCGGUAAUACGUAGGGUGCAAGCGUUAAUCGGAAUUACUGGGCGUAAAGCGUGCGCAGGCGGUCCGCUAAGACAGAUGUGAAAUCCCCGGGCUUAACCUGGGAACUGCAUUUGUGACUGGCGGGCUAGAGUAUGGCAGAGGGGGGUAGAAUUCCACGUGUAGCAGUGAAAUGCGUAGAGAUGUGGAGGAAUACCGAUGGCGAAGGCAGCCCCCUGGGCCAAUACUGACGCUCAUGCACGAAAGCGUGGGGAGCAAAUGGGAUUAGAUACCCGCGUAGUCCCUGUCUCUUAUAC